AUACGGAGGAUGCAAGCGUUAUCCGGAUUUAUUGGGUUUAAAGGGUGCGUAGGCUGUUCGGAAAGUCAGGGGUGAAAGCCCGGCGCCUAACGCCGGAACUGCCUUUGAUACUUCCGAGCUGGAAUACGGAUGCCGUGGGAGGAAUGAGUAGUGUAGCGGUGAAAUGCAUAGAUAUUACUCAGAACACCGAUUGCGAAGGCAGCUCACGAAUCCGUCAUUGACGCUGAGGCACGAAAGCGUGGGGAUCAAACAGGAUUAGGUACCCUGGUAGUCCACGCAGUAAACGAUGAUGGCUAACCGCUGGGCUUAUCAGUUCAGUGGCCAAGCGAAAGCGAUAAGCCAUCCACCUGGGGAGUACGACCGCAAGGUUGAAACUCAAAUGAAUUGGCGGG
This 392-nucleotide ribosomal RNA is filed under the name uncultured bacterium. RNAcentral's name for it is "partial 16S ribosomal RNA". It matches the Rfam family "Bacterial small subunit ribosomal RNA", at positions 523 to 917 of the family's 1533-position model. The record is from RNAcentral.